UACGAGGGGGGCGAGCGUUGUUCGGAAUUAUUGGGCGUAAAGGGUGCGUAGGCGGUUUGGUAAGUCUGAUGUGAAAUCUAUGGGCUCAACUCAUAGUCUGCAUCGGAAACUGCCGGGCUUGAGUGUGGGAGAGGUGAGCGGAAUUCCUGGUGUAGCGGUGAAAUGCGUAGAUAUCAGGAGGAACACCUGUGGCGAAAGCGGCUCACUGGACCAUAACUGACGCUGAUGCACGAAAGCUAGGGGAGCAAACCGG
This 253-nucleotide ribosomal RNA is filed under the name uncultured bacterium. Its description in RNAcentral is "partial 16S ribosomal RNA". It matches the Rfam family "Bacterial small subunit ribosomal RNA", at positions 524 to 776 of the family's 1533-position model. The record is from RNAcentral.